Long non-coding RNA from Orcinus orca (killer whale), 2510 nucleotides. RefSeq lists it as uncharacterized. The transcript is spliced from 2 exons. The record is from RefSeq and is a predicted model, not a curated record. NCBI's taxonomy places the organism in Eukaryota, Metazoa, Chordata, Mammalia, Artiodactyla, Delphinidae.
GGUACGCGGGGCUCUCACUGUUGUGGCCUCUCCCGUUGCGGAGCACAGGCUCCGGACGCGCAGGCUCAGCGGCCAUGGCUCACGGGCCCAGCCGCUCCGCGGCAUGUGGGAUCCUCCCGGACCGGGGCACGAACCCGUGUCCCCUGCAUCGGCAGGCGGACUCUCAACCACUGCGCCACCAGGGAAGCCCCAGAGAGUUUUUAAAAAGGAAUUUCUCAGUGCUUCAUACUCUGACUUGAUAAGUGAGAGGUGAGGCACAAUGAUUUAUAAAUACAUUUUAAAGCUCUCCUGGUCUUUCUAAUGUUGAGCCAGUUUGGGAAACUGCCCUUUGAGGAUGUUACAGGUGAAAACAGUAUUUGUAUGCAUUUAUCCUUGGAAACACAUCAGUUAAAAACAGGGAAAUAAGGUAGUAAAUAACUUACUUGACUCCUGGGAAUUUUGUGAGGGACCUGGACACUGGGAGAUUUCUUGGCUUACCUCCAUAAACAGUACUGAGUGAAUUCAUUACUCGCGUGUUUGGGUUUGGAACAGGCUCAUAUAAAUAGUUACAGGUCCUAAAAUAGCUUUGACUAUCACUGACCUGCCACUGAACCGCUCCCUGCAUCUUAAUUCUCACAGUCAUGUGAGCCAAGCGCGAGUGGCCUGGGUCCAUGUCCUCCCUCCCGUGUUAAAGACUGUGAGUGCCCACCUUAUCUAUGGAUCGUAGAUAUUGUUGUGAUGGUGCCUUCCAAAUAGGUUAAACAUGUAGUCAUUCUGUUUGGCAAUAUAACGUGUGAUUUCAGGAUGCUUUGACCCGUGGUUAAAGUCUUGUGUGCCUGUGAGACCAACCCUUGGUUGGUCCCAGAUCUGUUACCCCUAUAAACCCAGAUCCUUGCACAUCUUAGGACCGAGGUGUGAGAAUGAAGGGAGACAGUGAAGGGAAUGGGAGUGUGCGCCCCCCUCAGCUGACUGUCACGGGGCAGCAUCUCAGCCGGGGGUGUGGCUCUGGGGCACGUUCCCUUCUGCACCAGGCAGGCGUGUGGUCACUCAGAAACAACUACAUCCGACCACUGUGCCAGCCAGCGGAAGUCACCUCUGAUUUACACUUAAUUAAAGCAGCUGCUACUUGGAAACCUAAGUCCAGAGUUGAACCUCUCCCCAGAAAUUCUGCUGGAAUUGCCAGCAGGAUAGCAGCUCCACAGGAGAUUCCCCCCAGGUUUUACUCACAGAGAAAGUAGAGCAAGCAAACGGAACUCUGUCCUGCAGGCCUUCAACAGCAGGUGGCUCUUAUGUUAAUUAAAGCGCACGGAUGGGUCUGAACAUGCCUUAAUAAACAGAGCUAACUUUUGCAGCUCAGAUAAAAUUAACUAUGCAUUUGGAAUUUGGAAGGGCAUGAAGGAGAAUUCUGUGACAAAAGCCACAAACGGGGGCUUCCCUGGUGGCGCAGUGGUUAAGAAUCCACCUGCCAGGGCUUCCCUGGUGGCGCAGCGGUUGAGAGUCCGCCUGCCGAUGCAGGGGACACAGGUUCGUGCCCCGGUCCGGGAGGAUCCCACAUGCCGCGGAGCGGCUGGGCCCGUGAGCCAUGGCCGCUGAGCCUGCGCGUCCGGAGCCUGUGCUCCGCAACGGGAGAGGCCACAACAGUGAGAGGCCCGCGCACCAGACAAAAAAAAAAGCCACAAACGGAUCCCUCAACUUGGCGGUGCAGGUACGGCAGGCAGCACCUUGCACUGGGUGUCCCCCGGUUCAGAGUACCCAAGGGGAUGUCCCUGUGGGGAGGGCCGCUUGUGUAAAGCACUCCAUUUGCUCGACGAGGCCCCACCUGAGGCCUUGGGGUGAGGACGCUCCCUCCGUCCCUGCCGCCUCCAGCCUCCGGAAUGUGAGGCUGUCCUAGAGGCGGGAUCCCAGCUAAGGAUGCUUUCCAGCGUCAGCGCUGAGAAAAUAAGAAAUACCACAGUGUAAGCCAACUUGUCCUGAGACAGGAACCAAGCGUGCUGGUUUCUAGACCUUCAGAGGUAACACGUGCUUGGUCUGGCUGUAACGCUUCAAUGCUGGGAGACCAAGCACAUGGCUUUCGUUCUCCAGGUGGAGCUGGCGUAGCUCGCUUUACCUCUGCCUGCUGCCACCAAGCAGCUGUCACCUCCGUCCCUCCAUCCCCAGCCUCACCCAACAUCUCAAGUCCCUGGGCACAGCAAAUGUGCCACCCAACAUCCAGGAGCAAAGGCGACAGGCUGGAAGGAGCCACAAAGAUGACAAACCUCGGACCAGCAGACACUGGAGCUCAGCGAGCUCAACCCCCAAGCCCACAGCCUUGAGGGCUUCCCUGGUGGCGCAGUGGUUGAGAGUCCGCCUGCCGAUGCAGGGGACGCGGGUUCGUGCCCCGGUCCGGGAAGAUCCCACAUGCCGCGGAGCGGCUGGGCCCAUGAGCCAUGGCCGCUGAGCCUGCGCGUCUGGAGCCUGUGCUCCGCAGCGGGAGAGGCCACAACAGUGAGAGGCCUGCGUACCGCAAAAAAAAAAAAAAAAAAAAAACCCAC